CGGCGGACGGGUGAGUAACGCGUGGGUAACCUGCCUCAUACAGGGGAGUAACAGUUGGAAACGGCUGCUAAUACCGCAUAAGCGCACAGUACCGCAUGGUACGGUGUGAAAAACUCCGGUGGUAUGAGAUGGACCCGCGUCUGAUUAGGUAGUUGGUGGGGUAACGGCCUACCAAGCCGACGAUCAGUAGCCGACCUGAGAGGGUGACCGGCCACAUUGGGACUGAGACACGGCCCAA
This 238-nucleotide ribosomal RNA is filed under the name uncultured bacterium. Its description in RNAcentral is "partial 16S ribosomal RNA". It matches the Rfam family "Bacterial small subunit ribosomal RNA", at positions 96 to 334 of the family's 1533-position model. The record is from RNAcentral.